GACGAACGCUGGCGGCGUGCUUAACACAUGCAAGUCGAACGGAAAGGCCCUGCUUUUGUGGGGUGCUCGAGUGGCGAACGGGUGAGUAACACGUGAGUAACCUGCCCUUGACUUUGGGACAACUUCAGGAAACUGGGGCUAAUACCGGAUAGGAGCUCCUGCUGCAUGGUGGGGGUUGGAAAGCUUCGGCGGUUGGGGAUGGACUCGCGGCUUAUCAGCUUGUUGGUGGGGUAGUGGCUUACCAAGGCUUUGACGGGUAGCCGGCCUGAGAGGGUGACCGGCCACAUUUGGGACUGAGAUACGGCCCAGACUCCUACGGGAGGCAGCAGUGGGGAAUAUUGCACAAUGGGCGGAAGCCUGAUGCAGCAACGCCGCGUGCGGGAUGACGGCCUUCGGGUUGUAAACCGCUUUCGCCUGUGACGAAGCGUGAGUGACGGUAAUGGGUAAAGAAGCACCGGCUAACUACGUGCCAGCAGCCGCGGUGAUACGUAGGGUGCGAGCGUUGUCCGGAUUUAUUGGGCGUAAAGGGCUCGUAGGUGGUUGAUCGCGUCGGAAGUGUAAUCUUGGGGCUUAACCCUGAGCGUGCUUUCGAUACGGGUUGACUUGAGGAAGGUAGGGGAGAAUGGAAUUCCUGGUGGAGCGGUGGAAUGCGCAGAUAUCAGGAGGAACACCAGUGGCGAAGGCGGUUCUCUGGGCCUUUCCUGACGCUGAGGAGCGAAAGCGUGGGGAGCGAACAGGCUUAGAUACCCUGGUAGUCCACGCUGUAAACGGUGGGUACUAGGUGUGGGGUCCAUUCCACGGGUUCCGUGCCGUAGCUAACGCUUUAAGUACCCCGCCUGGGGAGUACGGCCGCAAGGCUAAAACUCAAAGGAAUUGACGGGGCCCCGCACAAGCGGCGGAGCAUGCGGAUUAAUUCGAUGCAACGCGUAGAACCUUACCUGGGUUUGACAUGGAUCGGGAGUGCUCAGAGAUGGGUGUGCCUCUUUUGGGGUCGGUUCACAGGUGGUGCAUGCCUGUCGUCAGCUCGUGUCGUGAGAUGUUGGGUUAAGUCCCGCAACGAGCGCAACCCUUGUUCACUGUUGCCAGCACGUUAUGGUGGGGACUCAGUGGAGACCGCCGGGGUCAACUCGGAGGAAGGUGGGGAUGACGUCAAGUCCUCAUGCCCCUUAUGUCCAGGGCUUCACGCAUGCUACAAUGGCUGGUACAGAGAGUGGCGAGCCUGUGAGGGUGAGCGAAUCUCGGAAAGCCGGUCUCAGUUCGGAUUGGGGUCUGCAACUCGACCUCAUGAAGUCGGAGUCGCUAGUAAUCGCAGAUCAGCAACGCUGCGGUGAAUACGUUCCCGGG
This 1344-nucleotide ribosomal RNA is filed under the name uncultured bacterium. RNAcentral's name for it is "16S ribosomal RNA". It matches the Rfam family "Bacterial small subunit ribosomal RNA", at positions 28 to 1378 of the family's 1533-position model. The record is from RNAcentral.